Regulatory RNA element from Flavobacterium sp. Leaf359, 109 nucleotides. It matches the Rfam family "SAM riboswitch aptamer (S box leader)". From Rfam's summary of the family: The SAM riboswitch is found upstream of a number of genes which code for proteins involved in methionine or cysteine biosynthesis in Gram-positive bacteria. The SAM riboswitch acts at the level of transcription termination control. Lineage: Bacteria; Pseudomonadati; Bacteroidota; Flavobacteriia; Flavobacteriales; Flavobacteriaceae. The record is from Rfam.
UUCUUAUCCAGAAAGACCGAGGGAAUUGACCCUAUGACGUCUUGGCAACCUGUCCUUUUGAGGAUAAGGUGCCACAUUCAACCCUUGCUUUGGCAGGGAAAGAUAAGCU